AUGGCGGCGCUCGGGUAUGAGGCUGGGGCUAAGUUGGAUUCAGGUGUGCAGCCGGUGGGAGCUGAGGAAGCACCCAAGAUAAUAUAAGCAAGGAAAACUGUGUUUUUAGAAGUUCACGGAUUGGCAUAGUAUGUGGUGUUUUACAACCCAAUUCUUUGGCUUUUGUUAAAAAUGGACGUCUGGCAACCAAGUAUCAUGCCAUUCCACUGCCACCAAAAGGAAGGGUUUUACUCCACUGGAUGCUGCUUUGUCAGACACAAGUUAAAUUAAUGGCAAUUCCUGUAGUCUUUCAUAUUGCGAUUGGAGUAGUUAGUAGUCUACACUACUACACAGUAUUUGAAAGCACACUUGAGAAAAUUGUACCUGCAGAGUAACCAAAAAAAUGAAUGGUUGCUAACUUAGCAGAAUGAAGUUUUUGUGAAGUGGACUCGGGCAUUGCUGAAAUUGUUAAAAGUAACUCUGAACAAUUUGUUUCUGUGACUUUUGCCUGGCAUAUAGCAAAUACUCAAUACAUAUUCAAUAUGCAAUCAAUAAAUAAAAGUUUCAACUUAAAAAAAAAA
Cebus imitator (Panamanian white-faced capuchin) is the source of this 560-nucleotide RNA transcript. It is a transcript of the gene named complex I assembly factor TMEM126B, mitochondrial-like, with no coding region annotated. NCBI's taxonomy places the organism in Eukaryota, Metazoa, Chordata, Mammalia, Primates, Cebidae. The record is from RefSeq and is a predicted model, not a curated record. The transcript has a single exon.